CGCGUAGGCGGCGCGAGAAGUCAGGCGUGAAAGCCCCGGGCUCAACCUGGGAGGUGCGCUUGGGACUCUGGUGCUGGAGUUCGGGAGAGGAGAGUGGAAUUCCCAGUGUAGAGGUGAAAUUCGUAGAUAUUGGGAAGAACACCGGUGGCGAAGGCGGCUCUCUGGACCGAUACUGACGCUGAGGCGCGAAAGCGUGGGGAGCAAACAGGAUUAGAUACCCUGGUAGUCCACGCUGUAAACGAUGUGUGCUAGACGUUGGGGAGCCUAGCUCUUCGGUGUCGCCGCAAACGCUUUAAGCACACCGCCUGGGGAGUACAGCCGCAAGGUUAAA
RNAcentral lists this ribosomal RNA (331 nucleotides) under uncultured bacterium. Its description in RNAcentral is "bacterial SSU rRNA". It matches the Rfam family "Bacterial small subunit ribosomal RNA", at positions 568 to 898 of the family's 1533-position model. The record is from RNAcentral.